AACAAACGCUGGCGGCGUGUCUUAAGCAUGCAAGUUGAGCGGCAAGGAGGAGAGAUCCUCCCUAGAGCAGCGGACUGGUGAGUAACGCGUGGGUAAUCUAUCUUAGGCAUGGGGAUAGUCACUAGAAAUAGUGGGUAAUACCGAAUAAGUUCCAUAAGGGGAGGACUUAUGGAAGAAAGGUGCUACGGCACUGGCCUUAGGUGAGCUCGCGUCCCAUUAGCUAGUUGGUGAGGUAAAGGCCCACCAAGGCGAUGAUGGGUAGCCGGCCUGAGAGGGUGUACGGCCACACUGGGACUGAGAUACGGCCCAGACUCCUACGGGAGGCAGCAGCUAAGAAUAUUCCGCAAUGGACGGAAGUCUGACGGAGCGACGCCGCGUGGAUGAAGAAGGCCGAAAGGUUGUAAAGUUCUUUUGCUAGGGGAGAAUAAGUGUGGGAGGGAAUGCCUGCACGAUGACAAGGACUAGCGAAUAAGUCCCGGCCAACUACGUGCCAGCACG
This 498-nucleotide ribosomal RNA is filed under the name uncultured bacterium. Its description in RNAcentral is "bacterial SSU rRNA". It matches the Rfam family "Bacterial small subunit ribosomal RNA", at positions 29 to 515 of the family's 1533-position model. The record is from RNAcentral.